GUCUAUGGCCGUGCCACCCUGAACAAGCCCAAUCCCAUCUGAUCUCGGAAGCUAAGCAGAGUCAGGCCUGGUUAGUACUUGGACGGGAGACCACCUAGAAGACCAGGUGCUAUUGGUG
This 118-nucleotide ribosomal RNA is filed under the name Pteropus alecto (black flying fox). The record is from RNAcentral. Lineage: Eukaryota; Metazoa; Chordata; Mammalia; Chiroptera; Pteropodidae.